This 466-nucleotide ribosomal RNA is filed under the name uncultured bacterium. Its description in RNAcentral is "partial 16S ribosomal RNA". It matches the Rfam family "Bacterial small subunit ribosomal RNA", at positions 339 to 795 of the family's 1533-position model. The record is from RNAcentral.
CUACGGGAGGCAGCAGUGGGGAAUAUUGGACAAUGGGGGAAACCCUGAUCCAGCAAUGCCGCGUGUGUGAAGAAGGCCUGCGGGUUGUAAAGCACUUUCGGUUGGGAGGACUGCUUCUAGCACUAAUAUUGCUGGAAGUUGACGUUACCUUCAGAAGAAGCACCGGCUAACUCCGUGCCAGCAGCCGCGGUAAUACGGGAGGGUGCAAGCGUUAAUCGGAAUUACUGGGCGUAAAGCGCGCGUAGGCGGCUAGAUCAGUCGGGUGUGAAAGCCCCGGGCUUAACCUGGGAACUGCAUCCGAUACUGUCUAGCUUGAGUACAGGAGAGGAGAGUGGAAUUCCACAUGUAGCGGCGAAAUGCGUAGAUAUGUGGAGGAACACCAAUGGCGAAGGCAGCUCUCUGGCCUGAUACUGACGCUGAGGUGCGAAAGCGUGGGGAGCAAACAGGAUUAGAUACCCGGGUAGUC